AGAGUUUGAUCCUGGCUCAGGACGAACGCUGGCGGCGUGCCUAAUACAUGCAAGUCGUGCGGACCUUUUAAAAGCUUGCUUUUAAAAGGUUAGCGGCGGACGGGUGAGUAACACGUGGGCAACCUGCCUGUAAGACCGGGAUAACGCCGGGAAACCGGGGCUAAUACCGGAUCGUUUUUUCCUCCGCAUGGAGGAAAAAAGGAAAGGCGGCUUCGGCUGCCACUUACAGAUGGGCCCGCGGCGCAUUAGCUAGUUGGCGGGGUAACGGCCCACCAAGGCAACGAUGCGUAGCCGACCUGAGAGGGUGAUCGGCCACAUUGGGACUGAGACACGGCCCAAACUCCUACGGGAGGCAGCAGUAGGGAAUCUUCCGCAAUGGACGAAAGUCUGACGGAGCAACGCCGCGUGAGUGAAGAAGGCCUUCGGGUCGUAAACUCUGUUGCCGGGGAAGAACAAGUGCCGUUCGAACAGGGCGGCGCCUUGACGGUACCCGGCCAGAGAG
RNAcentral lists this ribosomal RNA (502 nucleotides) under uncultured bacterium. RNAcentral describes it as "bacterial SSU rRNA". It matches the Rfam family "Bacterial small subunit ribosomal RNA", at positions 8 to 490 of the family's 1533-position model. The record is from RNAcentral.